UACAUGCAAGUCGAGCGAGUGAAACUAACUGAUCCCUUCGGGGUGACGUUAGUGGAUCUAGCGGCGGACGGGUGAGUAACACGUGGGCAACCUGCCUGUAAGACUGGGAUAACUCGCGGAAACGCGAGCUAAUACCGGAUGAUACUUUGAACUGCAUGGUUCGAAGAUGAAAGGCGGCGCAAGCUGUCACUUACAGAUGGGCCCGCGGCGCAUUAGCUAGUUGGUGAGGUAACGGCUCACCAAGGCGACGAUGCGUAGCCGACCUGAGAGGGUGAUCGGCCACACUGGGACUGAGACACGGCCCAGACUCCUACGGGAGGCAGCAGUAGGGAAUCUUCCGCAAUGGACGAAAGUCUGACGGAGCAACGCCGCGUGAGUGAUGAAGGUUUUCGGAUCGUAAAACUCUGUUGUUAGGGAAGAACAAGUACAAGAGUAACUGCUUGUACCUUGACGGUACCUAACCAGAAAGCCCCGGCUAACUACGUGCCAGCAGCCGCGGUAAUACGUAGGGGGCCAGCGUUGUCCGGAAUUAUUGGGCGUAAAGCGCGCGCAGGCGGUCCUUUAAGUCUGAUGUGAAAGCCCACGGCUUAACCGUGGAGGGUCAUUGGAAACUGGAGGACUUGAGUACAGAAGAGGAGAGUGGAAUUCCACGUGUAGCGGUGAAAUGCGUAGAGAUGUGGAGGAACACCAGUGGCGAAGGCGACUCUCUGGUCUGUAACUGACGCUGAGGCGCGAAAGCGUGGGGAGCGAACAGGAUUAGAUACCCUGGUAGUCCACGCCGUAAACGAUGAGUGCUAGGUGUUAGGGGGUUUCCGCCCCUUAGUGCUGAAGUUAACGCAUUAAGCACUCCGCCUGGGGAGUACGGCCGCAAGGCUGAAACUCAAAAGAAUUGACGGGGGCCCGCACAAGCGGUGGAGCAUGUGGUUUAAUUCGAAGCAACGCGAAGAACCUUACCAGGUCUUGACAUCCUCUGACAACCCUAGAGAUAGGGCUUUCCCUUCGGGGACAGAGUGACAGGUGGUGCAUGG
RNAcentral lists this ribosomal RNA (1028 nucleotides) under Ornithinibacillus scapharcae. RNAcentral describes it as "bacterial SSU rRNA". It matches the Rfam family "Bacterial small subunit ribosomal RNA", at positions 52 to 1048 of the family's 1533-position model. Lineage: Bacteria; Bacillati; Bacillota; Bacilli; Caryophanales; Bacillaceae. The record is from RNAcentral.